AGUGCUGAAAGCAUCUAAGCAUGAAGCCCCCCUCAAGAUGAGAUUUCCCAACUUCGGUUAUAAGAUCCCUCAAAGAUGAUGAGGUUAAUAGGUUCGAGGUGGAAGCGUGGUGACACGUGGAGCUGACGAAUACUAAUCGAUUGAAGACUUAAUCAA
RNAcentral lists this ribosomal RNA (156 nucleotides) under Staphylococcus haemolyticus. RNAcentral describes it as "partial 23S ribosomal RNA". It matches the Rfam family "Bacterial large subunit ribosomal RNA", at positions 2767 to 2925 of the family's 2925-position model. The record is from RNAcentral. Lineage: Bacteria; Bacillati; Bacillota; Bacilli; Caryophanales; Staphylococcaceae.